Molecule: ribosomal RNA, 474 nt
Filed under: uncultured bacterium
Lineage: Bacteria
Description: bacterial SSU rRNA
Rfam family: Bacterial small subunit ribosomal RNA
Source: RNAcentral
CAGGACGAACGCUGGCGGCGUGCUUAACACAUGCAAGUCGAGCGGAAAGGCCCUCGGGGUACUCGAGCGGCGAACGGGUGAGUAACACGUGAGCAACCUGCCCCUGGCUCUGGGAUAGCCUCCGGAAACGGGGAUUAAUACCGGACAUGACUGCCUGCGGCAUCGUGGGUGGUGGAAAGUUUUUCGGCCAGGGUGGGGCUCGCGGCCUAUCAGCUUGUUGGGGGGUGACGGCCCACCAAGGCGACGACGGGUAGCCGGCCUGAGAGGGCGACCGGCCACACUGGGACUGAGACACGGCCCAGACUCCUGCGGGAGGCAGCAGUGGGGAAUAUUGCGCAAUGGGCGGAAGCCUGACGCCAGCGACGCCGCGUGGGGGAUGAAGGCCUUCGGGUUGUAAACCUCUUUCACCAGGGACGAAGCGCAAGUGACGGUACCUGGGGAAGAAGCGCCGGCUAACUACGUGCCAGCAGCUGC